This 252-nucleotide ribosomal RNA is filed under the name uncultured bacterium. RNAcentral describes it as "partial 16S ribosomal RNA". It matches the Rfam family "Bacterial small subunit ribosomal RNA", at positions 524 to 776 of the family's 1533-position model. The record is from RNAcentral.
UACGGAGGAUGCGAGCGUUAUCCGGAUUUAUUGGGUUUAAAGGGUGCGUAGGCGGACUGUCAAGUCAGCGGUAAAAUUGAGAGGCUCAACCUCUUCCCGCCGUUGAAACUGGUAGACUUGAGUGCAGGAGAGGAGAGUGGAAUUCCAUGUGUAGCGGUGAAAUGCGUAGAUAUAUGGAGGAACACCGGUGGCGAAAACGGCUCUCUGGCCUGUAACUGACACUGAGGCUCGAAAGCGUGGGGAGCAAACAGG